This 815-nucleotide ribosomal RNA is filed under the name Actinobacillus pleuropneumoniae serovar 6 str. Femo. Its description in RNAcentral is "bacterial SSU rRNA". It matches the Rfam family "Bacterial small subunit ribosomal RNA", at positions 8 to 810 of the family's 1533-position model. The record is from RNAcentral. Lineage: Bacteria; Pseudomonadati; Pseudomonadota; Gammaproteobacteria; Pasteurellales; Pasteurellaceae.
AGAGUUUGAUCAUGGCUCAGAUUGAACGCUGGCGGCAGGCUUAACACAUGCAAGUCGAACGGUAACGGGAAGGGAGCUUGCUUUCUUUGCCGACGAGUGGCGGACGGGUGAGUAAUGCUUGGGAAUCUGGCUUAUGGAGGGGGAUAACUACGGGAAACUGUAGCUAAUACCGCGUAAUAUCUAUGGAUUAAAGGGUGGGACUUUCGGGCCACCUGCCAUAAGAUGAGCCCAAGUGGGAUUAGGUAGUUGGUUAGGUAAAGGCUGACCAAGCCGACGAUCUCUAGCUGGUCUGAGAGGAUGACCAGCCACACUGGAACUGAGACACGGUCCAGACUCCUACGGGAGGCAGCAGUGGGGAAUAUUGCACAAUGGGGGGAACCCUGAUGCAGCCAUGCCGCGUGAAUGAAGAAGGCCUUCGGGUUGUAAAGUUCUUUCGGUAGCGAGGAAGGUAUCAAAUUUAAUAGAUUUGGUAAUUGACGUUAACUACAGAAGAAGCACCGGCUAACUCCGUGCCAGCAGCCGCGGUAAUACGGAGGGUGCGAGCGUUAAUCGGAAUAACUGGGCGUAAAGGGCACGCAGGCGGUUGAUUAAGUGAGAUGUGAAAGCCCCGGGCUUAACCUGGGAAUUGCAUUUCAUACUGGUCAACUAGAGUACUUUAGGGAGGGGUAGAAUUCCACGUGUAGCGGUGAAAUGCGUAGAGAUGUGGAGGAAUACCGAAGGCGAAGGCAGCCCCUUGGGAAUGUACUGACGCUCAUGUGCGAAAGCGUGGGGAGCAAACAGGAUUAGAUACCCUGGUAGUCCACGCUGUAAACGCU